UUAAUUAUGGAGUUAGAUUGAAGCUGAGAGACAAAAAGAGCUAGUGAUACCAGAAGAAGCCAAACAGCUUGGAGUAUUUCAUAACUUCGAAAUGUCUUUGAAGAACGUUCCGUUAAUGUGUUCUGGAUUGCUUCAAGGUUGCCAUUCUCUUACACCUCUCUUUUCCAUUUAUUUAUCUACACACAUAUACCAUCUUUCCUUUUCUUUUUCUUGCUAGGUGUGUUCUUCUUUGACGAAAACAAUGGACUCUCUCUCUCUCUCUCUCUUCUCUGUUUUGAUGCAAGAGAAGGUCUAAGGAACUCAAAACAUAUCCAUUUUUCACCCAUUGGAAGACUCAUUCGUUCCCACCCUCUCUUUACAUAUCGAAUUGUUGAAUAUGUGCAGAAACAUUGUUGUAGUAUUGCGAAUUGAGAGGCAGGGUGAGGUGUGAGAAAAGGAGAGAGGUUUUCAAGACAGAGAGAGAGAGAGAGUGAAAGACACAU
This 482-nucleotide long non-coding RNA is filed under the name Populus tremula. RNAcentral describes it as "long non-coding RNA (PTRE_LNC000778)". Lineage: Eukaryota; Viridiplantae; Streptophyta; Magnoliopsida; Malpighiales; Salicaceae. The record is from RNAcentral.